RNAcentral lists this ribosomal RNA (421 nucleotides) under uncultured bacterium. RNAcentral's name for it is "bacterial SSU rRNA". It matches the Rfam family "Bacterial small subunit ribosomal RNA", at positions 28 to 426 of the family's 1533-position model. The record is from RNAcentral.
GACGAACGCUGGCGGCGUGCUUAACACAUGCAAGUCGAACGAAAGAGGGAAAGAGCUUGCUCUUUCCGGAAUUGAGUGGCAAACGGGUGAGUAACACGUAAACAACCUGCCUUCAGGAUGGGGACAACAGACGGAAACGACUGCUAAUACCGAAUAAGUUCCAAGAGCCGCAUGGCCCAUGGAAGAAAAGGUGGCCUCUACCUGUAAGCUAUCGCCUGAAGAGGGGUUUGCGUCUGAUUAGCUGGUUGGAGGGGUAACGGCCCACCAAGGCGACGAUCAGUAGCCGGUCUGAGAGGAUGAACGGCCACACUGGAACUGAGACACGGUCCAGACUCCUACGGGAGGCAGCAGUGGGGAAUCUUCCGCAAUGGGCGAAAGCCUGACGGAGCAACGCCGCGUGAGUGAUGACGGCCUCGGUUGU